This 2818-nucleotide ribosomal RNA is filed under the name Pseudomonas syringae. RNAcentral's name for it is "23S ribosomal RNA". It matches the Rfam family "Bacterial large subunit ribosomal RNA". Lineage: Bacteria; Pseudomonadati; Pseudomonadota; Gammaproteobacteria; Pseudomonadales; Pseudomonadaceae. The record is from RNAcentral.
GGUCAAGUGAAGAAGCGCAUACGGUGGAUGCCUUGGCAGUCAGAGGCGAUGAAAGACGUGGUAGCCUGCGAAAAGCUUCGGGGAGUCGGCAAACAGACUGUGAUCCGGAGAUGUCUGAAUGGGGGAACCCAGCCAUCAUAAGAUGGUUAUCUUGUACUGAAUACAUAGGUGCAAGAGGCGAACCAGGGGAACUGAAACAUCUAAGUACCCUGAGGAAAAGAAAUCAACCGAGAUUCCCUUAGUAGUGGCGAGCGAACGGGGACCAGCCCUUAAGUUGUAUUGAGAUUAGCGGAACGUUCUGGAAAGGACGGCCAUAGUGGGUGAUAGCCCUGUACGCGAAAAUCCCUUUGCAAUGAAAUCGAGUAGGACGGGGCACGAGAAACCUUGUCUGAAUAUGGGGGGACCAUCCUCCAAGGCUAAAUACUACUGACUGACCGAUAGUGAACCAGUACCGUGAGGGAAAGGCGAAAAGAACCGCGGAGAGCGGAGUGAAAUAGAUCCUGAAACCGUAUGCGUACAAGCAGUGGGAGCCCACUUUGUUGGGUGACUGCGUACCUUUUGUAUAAUGGGUCAGCGACUUAUUUUCAGUGGCGAGCUUAACCGAAUAGGGGAGGCGUAGCGAAAGCGAGUCUUAAUAGGGCGUCUAGUCGCUGGGAAUAGACCCGAAACCGGGCGAUCUAUCCAUGGGCAGGUUGAAGGUUGGGUAACACUAACUGGAGGACCGAACCGACUACCGUUGAAAAGUUAGCGGAUGACCUGUGGAUCGGAGUGAAAGGCUAAUCAAGCUCGGAGAUAGCUGGUUCUCCUCGAAAGCUAUUUAGGUAGCGCCUCAUGUAUCACUGUAGGGGGUAGAGCACUGUUUCGGCUAGGGGGUCAUCCCGACUUACCAAACCGAUGCAAACUCCGAAUACCUACAAGUGCCGAGCAUGGGAGACACACGGCGGGUGCUAACGUCCGUCGUGAAAAGGGAAACAACCCAGACCGUCAGCUAAGGUCCCAAAGUCAUGGUUAAGUGGGAAACGAUGUGGGAAGGCUUAGACAGCUAGGAGGUUGGCUUAGAAGCAGCCACCCUUUAAAGAAAGCGUAAUAGCUCACUAGUCGAGUCGGCCUGCGCGGAAGAUGUAACGGGGCUCAAACCAUGCACCGAAGCUACGGGUAUCAUCUUUUGAUGAUGCGGUAGAGGAGCGUUCUGUAAGCCUGUGAAGGUGAGUUGAGAAGCUUGCUGGAGGUAUCAGAAGUGCGAAUGCUGACAUGAGUAACGACAAUGGGUGUGAAAAACACCCACGCCGAAAGACCAAGGUUUCCUGCGCAACGUUAAUCGACGCAGGGUUAGUCGGUCCCUAAGGCGAGGCUGAAAAGCGUAGUCGAUGGAAAACAGGUUAAUAUUCCUGUACUUCUGGUUAUUGCGAUGGAGGGACGGAGAAGGCUAGGCCAGCCUGGCGUUGGUNNUUUAGAACACGAAGUGGUUGAUGCCAUGCUUCCAAGAAAAGCUUCUAAGCUUCAGGUAACCAGGAACCGUACCCCAAACCGACACAGGUGGUUGGGUAGAGAAUACCAAGGCGCUUGAGAGAACUCGGGUGAAGGAACUAGGCAAAAUGGCACCGUAACUUCGGGAGAAGGUGCGCCGGUGGAGGUGAAGCAUUUACUGCGUAAGCCCCUGCCGGUCGAAGAUACCAGGCCGCUGCGACUGUUUAUUAAAAACACAGCACUCUGCAAACACGAAAGUGGACGUAUAGGGUGUGACGCCUGCCCGGUGCCGGAAGGUUAAUUGAUGGGGUUAGCGCAAGCGAAGCUCUUGAUCGAAGCCCCGGUAAACGGCGGCCGUAACUAUAACGGUCCUAAGGUAGCGAAAUUCCUUGUCGGGUAAGUUCCGACCUGCACGAAUGGCGUAACGAUGGCGGCGCUGUCUCCACCCGAGACUCAGUGAAAUUGAAAUCGCUGUGAAGAUGCAGUGUAUCCGCGGCUAGACGGAAAGACCCCGUGAACCUUUACUAUAGCUUUGCACUGGACUUUGAAUUUGCUUGUGUAGGAUAGGUGGGAGGCUUUGAAGCGUGGACGCCAGUCUGCGUGGAGCCAACCUUGAAAUACCACCCUGGCAACUUUGAGGUUCUAACUCAGGUCCGUUAUCCGGAUCGAGGACAGUGUAUGGUGGGUAGUUUGACUGGGGCGGUCUCCUCCUAAAGAGUAACGGAGGAGUACGAAGGUGCGCUCAGACCGGUCGGAAAUCGGUCGUAGAGUAUAAAGGCAAAAGCGCGCUUGACUGCGAGACAGACACGUCGAGCAGGUACGAAAGUAGGUCUUAGUGAUCCGGUGGUUCUGUAUGGAAGGGCCAUCGCUCAACGGAUAAAAGGUACUCCGGGGAUAACAGGCUGAUACCGCCCAAGAGUUCAUAUCGACGGCGGUGUUUGGCACCUCGAUGUCGGCUCAUCACAUCCUGGGGCUGAAGCCGGUCCCAAGGGUAUGGCUGUUCGCCAUUUAAAGUGGUACGCGAGCUGGGUUUAGAACGUCGUGAGACAGUUCGGUCCCUAUCUGCCGUGGACGUUUGAGAUUUGAGAGGGGCUGCUCCUAGUACGAGAGGACCGGAGUGGACGAACCUCUGGUGUUCCGGUUGUCACGCCAGUGGCAUUGCCGGGUAGCUAUGUUCGGAAAAGAUAACCGCUGAAAGCAUCUAAGCGGGAAACUUGCCUCAAGAUGAGAUCUCACUGGAACCUUGAGUUCCCUAAAGGGCCGUCGAAGACUACGACGUUGAUAGGUUGGGUGUGUAAGCGCUGUGAGGCGUUGAGCUAACCAAUACUAAUUGCCCGUGAGGCUUGACCAU